This 322-nucleotide unclassified non-coding RNA is filed under the name uncultured Hypocreales. RNAcentral describes it as "sequence contains ITS1". The stretch from base 1 to 105 matches the Rfam family "5.8S ribosomal RNA", at positions 50 to 154 of the family's 154-position model. Lineage: Eukaryota; Fungi; Ascomycota; Sordariomycetes; Hypocreales. The record is from RNAcentral.
AAAAUGCGAUAAGUAAUGUGAAUUGCAGAAUUCAGUGAAUCAUCGAAUCUUUGAACGCACAUUGCGCCCGCCAGUACUCUGGCGGGCAUGCCUGUCCGAGCGUCAUUUCAACCCUCAGGGCUCUCCGGCACUGGUCGGAGGGCGCUGGUGUUGGGGAUCGGCUUCCCUAGCGGCUGCCGUCCCCUAAAUGUAGUGGCGGUCCCACCGUGACCUCCCCUGUGAAGUACUUAGCUCGCAGAGGGACAGCGGUGCGGCCACGCCGUAAAACACCCAACUCUUCAAGGUUGACCUCGGAUCAGGUAGGACUACCCGCUGAACUUAA